UACGUAGGGGGCAAGCGUUGUCCGGAAUCAUUGGGCGUAAAGCGCGUGUAGGCGGCCCGGUAAGUCCGCUGUGAAAGUCGGGGGCUCAACCCUCGAAUGCCGGUGGAUACUGUCGGGCUAGAGUGCGGAAGAGGCGAGUGGAAUUCCUGGUGUAGCGGUGAAAUGCGCAGAUAUCGUAAGGAAGACCAGUGGCGAAGGCGGGUCUCUGGACAGUUACUGACACUGAGGCACGAAGGCCAGGGGAGCAAACGGG
This 253-nucleotide ribosomal RNA is filed under the name uncultured bacterium. RNAcentral describes it as "partial 16S ribosomal RNA". It matches the Rfam family "Bacterial small subunit ribosomal RNA", at positions 524 to 776 of the family's 1533-position model. The record is from RNAcentral.